This 573-nucleotide ribosomal RNA is filed under the name Achromobacter xylosoxidans. RNAcentral's name for it is "bacterial SSU rRNA". It matches the Rfam family "Bacterial small subunit ribosomal RNA", at positions 63 to 631 of the family's 1533-position model. The record is from RNAcentral. Lineage: Bacteria; Pseudomonadati; Pseudomonadota; Betaproteobacteria; Burkholderiales; Alcaligenaceae.
CGAACGGCAGCACGGACUUCGGUCUGGUGGCGAGUGGCGAACGGGUGAGUAAUGUAUCGGAACGUGCCCAGUAGCGGGGGAUAACUACGCGAAAGCGUAGCUAAUACCGCAUACGCCCUACGGGGGAAAGCAGGGGAUCGCAAGACCUUGCACUAUUGGAGCGGCCGAUAUCGGAUUAGCUAGUUGGUGGGGUAACGGCUCACCAAGGCAACGAUCCGUAGCUGGUUUGAGAGGACGACCAGCCACACUGGGACUGAGACACGGCCCAGACUCCUACGGGAGGCAGCAGUGGGGAAUUUUGGACAAUGGGGGAAACCCUGAUCCAGCCAUCCCGCGUGUGCGAUGAAGGCCUUCGGGUUGUAAAGCACUUUUGGCAGGAAAGAAACGUCGCGGGUUAAUACCCCGCGGAACUGACGGUACCUGCAGAAUAAGCACCGGCUAACUACGUGCCAGCAGCCGCGGUAAUACGUAGGGUGCAAGCGUUAAUCGGAAUUACUGGGCGUAAAGCGUGCGCAGGCGGUUCGGAAAGAAAGAUGUGAAAUCCCAGAGCUUAACUUUGGAACUGCAUUUUUA